Molecule: ribosomal RNA, 406 nt
Filed under: uncultured bacterium
Lineage: Bacteria
Description: partial 16S ribosomal RNA
Rfam family: Bacterial small subunit ribosomal RNA
Source: RNAcentral
AUUGAACGCUGGCGGCAGGACUAACACAUGCAAGUCGAACGAGUGGCGGACGGGUGAGUAAUGUAUGGGAAACUGCAUGAUGGAAGGGGAUAACUACUGGAAACGGUAGCUAAUACCGCAUACCAUCAGAUGUGGCCAGAUGGGAUUAGCUAGUUGGUGGGGUAACGGCUCACCAAGGCGACGAUCCCUAGGUGGUCUGAGAGGAUGACCACCCACAGUGGAACUGAGACACGGUCCGGACUCCUACGGGAGGCAGCAGUGGGGAAUAUUGCAUGAUGGGCGCAAGCCUGAUGCAGCCAUGCGGCGUGUAUGAAGAAGGCCUUCGGGUUGUAAAGUACUGUCAGCGGGGAGGCGUUACCCGCAGAAGAAGCACCGGCUAACUCCGUGCCAGCCGCCGCGGUAAUUC